This 477-nucleotide ribosomal RNA is filed under the name uncultured bacterium. RNAcentral describes it as "partial 16S ribosomal RNA". It matches the Rfam family "Bacterial small subunit ribosomal RNA", at positions 29 to 507 of the family's 1533-position model. The record is from RNAcentral.
AUGAACGCUGGCGGCGUGCUUAACACAUGCAAGUCGAACGGGAAACCUUUUAUUGAAGCUUCGGCAGAUUUAGCUGGUUUCUAGUGGCGGACGGGUGAGUAACGCGUGGGUAACCUGCCCUAUACAGGGGGAUAACAACCAGAAAUGGUUGCUAAUACCGCAUAAGCGCACAGGGCCGCAUGGUCCGGUGUGAAAAACUCCGGUGUGAUAGGAUGGACCCGCGUUGGAUUAGCCAGUUGGCAGGGUAACGGCCUACCAAAGCGACGAUCCAUAGCCGGCCUGAGAGGGUGAACGGCCACAUUGGGACUGAGACACGGCCCAGACUCCUACGGGAGGCAGCAGUGGGGAAUAUUGCACAAUGGGGGAAACCCUGAUGCAGCGACGCCGCGUGAAGGAAGAAGUAUCUCGGUAUGUAAACUUCUAUCAGCAGGGAAGAUAGUGACGGUACCUGACUAAGAAGCCCCGGCUAACUACGUG